CGGGAGGAUUUAUGGGUAGACAUAACAAUGCUGUUGUCGGGGUAACAAAGAGACGGUAAUGAAGUUGAGCUCCGUUGGAUUCCGGGGAUGAAAGAUGGCUGGCAGAGACAAUGGGAUAAAAGUGGAGGAGGCUAUACCAGAGUUGGAGAUAGAUGUGGAUGAGCUGCUGGACAUGCCUAGUGAUGAUGACAGAGGAGCCAGAGUUAAAGAUCUCCUGGUAGACUGUUACAAACCUACUGAGGACUUUGUGUCAGAUCUGCUGGAUAAGAUACGUGGCAUGCAGAAGCUCACCACCCCCCAGAAGAAAUAACCUCAACCCUGAGUCACCCCUCCUCUUCACCCCCUGCCUCCUCCCGCCUCCCUCCCUCACUCCAACCUCACCCCACAGAAGAAAUAGGAGCUUGGCUUCCUCAGAGAUGGAGGAGGAAGAGGGAGGAGAAAAAGAGGAGAGAAGGGGCAGAGGAGUAAGAGAGGUGAUUGAAGCAGCCAAUCACAUCUAAGCAGGGUGUAUGAUGUCCUGUGAUUUUUAUUUUAAUGUUUUAUUUAGUUUACAUUUAUUUAGAUUACAUUUUUUUAAAGGUGGUUUGUAUUGUUGUUAAAUGAUCAAGCGAUCGGUCAUAUUUCUCAUGUUAAUGAGUGAACAUAGCAUACUAUAUUGUAGCUGUAAGCCAAGCCCAGGAUAUAUUCUGAGUUUUAGUAGCCAAGCCAGGAUAUAUUCUGAGUUUUAGUAGCCAAGCCCAGGACAUAUUCUGAGUUUUAGUAGCCAAGCCCAGGAUACAUUCUGAGUUUUAGUAGCCAAGCCCAGGAUACAUUCUGAGUUUUAGUAGCCAAGCCCAGGAUAUAUUCUGAGUUUUAGUAGCCAAGCCCAGGAUAUAUUCUGAGUUUUAGUAGCCAAGCCCAGGAUGUAUUCUGAGUUUUAGUAGCCAAGCCCAGGAUAUAUUCUGAGUUUUAGUAGCCAAGCCAGGAUAUAUUCUGAGUUUUAGUAGCCAAGCCCAGGAUGUAUUCUGAGUUUUAGUAGCCAAGCCCAGGAUAUAUUCUGAGUUUUAGUAGCCAAGCCCAGGAUGUAUUCUGAGUUUUAGUAGCCAAGCCCAGGAUAUAUUCUGAGUUUUAGUAGCCAAGCCCAGGAUAUAUUCUGAGUUUUAGUAGCCAAGCCCAGGAUAUAUUCUGAGUUUUAGUAGCCAAGCCAGGAUAUAUUCUGAGUUUUAGAAUGAGUCCCAAAAUGGCACGUUAUUUAUUACCUUCUAUAGUCCAUUACAUUUGACCAGGGCUCUGGUCCAAAGUAGUGGACUAGGUUUUAAGGGUGCCGUUUGGGGAUGGGAGAGACUCCUAUGUAUAGUACAGUGUGUGUGUGUGUGUGUGUGUGUGUGUGUGUGUGUGUGUGUGUAGUCUAGACCUCAGUGAAAACACAGACCGGGGGACUUGACAAAGUGACCUUUUUUUCCUCUUUAGUUCUAUCUCUUUAUCACUGUUUAUUGUUCUGUCAGAUAUUUCAUGUUCCAUAAUGUGCAGGUGUAAGGCCUUUGUCAGUGAGGACUCUUGUAGAGAGAUUUCAGGAGACGAGUAAACCAAUGAGGGAGGGAGGGAGGGACGGAGGGAGGCACUGGGUAGUGGAAAAUGUGUCGAUGUGUUCAUCCAGAUAGCCACACACACACCCAGGGAACAGCAGAAACACAGACCACAGCUGCUGCUCCUUCAUACUCUCACACAGAUGUGAACACUGGUACACACACACAUAAACACACACUGGCUCUCUCUCGUCAACACACACACGGGAAGGAGGGGGGGUAUAAUCAUUGAGAGAGGGAUAAAUGGAGAAAAAGAGGGAGAAUCAGAGGUCUUACUCUUCCUGGCUUGGCUGCCUCACAAGGCCUUAGUGUUGCCAAUCAUGCAGCUCUCUCACUCACCCCAUGUCUCUCUUUGGCCCUCACUCCUUCCUCUGUCUCCUUCCCUUUCUACUUCCAGCAAUCUACAGAUGACUCCAUCCCUCCCUCCAUCUCUCUCUCUCCUCUCCCUCCAUCUAUCCCUCUCGCUCUCUCCUUCCCUCCCUCCAUCUAUCCCUCUCGCUCUCUCCUUCCCUCCCUCCAUCUAUCCCUCUCGCUCUCUCCUUCCCUCCCUCCAUCUAUCCCUCUCGCUCCCUCCCUCCAUCCCACCAUCCCUCCCUCCUUCCCACCAUCCCACCCUCUCCCUCCUUCCCUUCCAUCUCUCUCUCCCUCCUUCCCUUCCAUCUCUCUCUCCCUCCUUCCCUUCCAUCUCUCUCUUCCUCCUUUCCUUCAUCCAGCUCUAUCCUUCCAUCCCUCCAUCUCUUGUUUAAUAACUGACGUUGCCUUAGGUCUAUAUUGAAGUUACAAACCAAAUAAAAGGAGACGUCCAUUUUUAACAACAAUUUUUAAACAAAAAAAAAUGAUCCUGUUGUUGUUUAGGAAGAGGUCAUCUAGAGGUCAUCUAGAGGUCAUCUAGAGGUCAUCUAGAGGUCAUCUAGACCUCUUUACGUUCUUUUAGAUGUGAAUAUCUAUUCUAGGUCAAUUAUUACUGUGUGUACUAUUAUAAUACCUGGUGCGCAUCCCAAAUGGAACCCUGUUCCCUAUAUAUAGGGAAUAGGGUGCCAGCCCUGGUCUAAAGUAGUGCCCUAUAUAGGGAAUAGGGUGCCAGCCCUGGUCUAUAGUAGUGCCCUAUAUAGGGAAUAGGGUGCCAGCCCUGGUCUAUAGUAGUGCCCUAUAUAGGGAAUAGGGUGCCAUUUGAGAAGCGGCCCCUGAUAACCUGUUGUUGCGUGUCAGACCUUUUUCUUUUGUUACUGUACGACAACUUUGACUGUUGAAAUGCUGUUUUAGAAGUGAUGUGUUUUUAAUAAGAAACUGAAGAACGAAAAUGUAGCGACAGGGUUUUUGUUUUACCACAAUGCUGUUACACUUUUAUGCAACUUUAAUAAACAAAAUAUGUUAAAAGGGGG
This 2947-nucleotide long non-coding RNA is filed under the name Salmo salar (Atlantic salmon). Its description in RNAcentral is "lncRNA (ENSSSAG00000086814.1)". Lineage: Eukaryota; Metazoa; Chordata; Actinopteri; Salmoniformes; Salmonidae. The record is from RNAcentral.